This 484-nucleotide ribosomal RNA is filed under the name uncultured bacterium. RNAcentral's name for it is "partial 16S ribosomal RNA". It matches the Rfam family "Bacterial small subunit ribosomal RNA", at positions 30 to 507 of the family's 1533-position model. The record is from RNAcentral.
AUUGAACGCUGGCGGCGGGCCUAACACAUGCAAGUCGAGCGGAUGAAGGGAGCUUGCUCCUGGAUUCAGCGGCGGACGGGUGAGUAAUGCCUAGGUAUCUGCCUGGUAGUGGGGGAUAACGUCCGGAAACGGGCGCUAAUACCGCAUACGUCCUGAGGGAGACAGUGGGGGAUCUUCGGACCUCACGCUAUCAGAUGAGCCUAGGUCGGAUUAGCUAGUUGGUGGGGUAAAGGCCUACCAAGGCGACGAUCCGUAACUGGUCUGAGAGGAUGAUCAGUCACACUGGAACUGAGACACGGUCCAGACUCCUACGGGAGGCAGCAGUGGGGAAUAUUGGACAAUGGGCGAAAGCCUGAUCCAGCCAUGCCGCGUGUGUGAAGAAGGUCUUCGGAUUGUAAAGCACUUUAAGUUGGGAGGAAGGGAAGUAAGUUAAUACCUUGCUGUUUUGACGUUACCAACAGAAUAAGCACCGGCUAACUUCGUG